AGGGAAUCCAAUCAGUACACCUAGGUUGCAAGUUCCCUCUUGGGCCUCCUCAGAGCCUGCGUGGUCACUGGUGAGGAGUCCUGGUCACCCCAGGGCAGCUAGACUCUGCAUUAACACGCCUAUCUGCAGAGCAGCAGCUCCCUGUGUUUCCUGUUGUUCCAGGGCUUGCACAGCUAACAGAGAUCCCAAUCUGGGCUGGCCUUUGAAGGCGGCUUGGGUGUUAACUAAUUACUAGGCAAAUGGACUAUUACUUCUAAGAGGUUUUUUUUUUUUAAACAGCAUGUUUGUUGAUAGUAUGAUUAGGCUAUUUAUAGGAAUCUUUAAAGCACUUGUCUGAGUAUCUUUCUGUAAAAGCAGAGAUAAAAUGAGUAGGGAUGGCAGAGGGGAACAGCAGCCAGGGGAAGCUCUUUAGGUGAGAACAAGGUCCUAAGAGGGUGGGCAUGCCCCAGGAAGACCAGAAAAACAACUGUUGCUGAACAGAUCAUCCAACUCAUCUUCACCAGCAAUCUCAAGCUGGAGGCUGCCUGUCAUGAGAGAAUCCAGGUUAAUGGGAGAAAAUGGUUCAGCCCAAACUCACCUCCUCCUGUGGGGACUCUCGUGGAGAUGACUUAUGAUUACCGUCCUGCAGCAUGAUGACUUUCUUCUUAGCAGAGAACUCAAAUUAUGCUUCGUGAGCCAGCCAUGGCUUGACUUACAAUGCCAGGUGUGGACUGCUAAAGCGGAUCCUUCCGGUGGGGACAGAGGGGGCAUGUGUGGCUCACAGGAGGCAGGAGGGGCAGGGUGUUCUGAGUGCCUGCAGGAAGCCCUUGGUGGUGCCGGUUGCAAACAUGCCUUCUGUCCAGCAGUCAGUAGUUUGCUCUAGGCCCGGCUCACACCGGACAAGCUCUCAGUAAAGGUCCCUUGGCGAGACCUGGCAUAAAGAUGCACUUUCCAAACCACAUAGCUGGCCUAACCCAUGAGUGGAG
RNAcentral lists this long non-coding RNA (965 nucleotides) under Marmota monax (woodchuck). The record is from RNAcentral. Lineage: Eukaryota; Metazoa; Chordata; Mammalia; Rodentia; Sciuridae.